CAGUAGCCACGGGAAUAUGAAGGGGGCUAGCGUUGCUCGGAAUUACUGGGCGUAAAGGGAGCGUAGGCGGAUCGUUAAGUUGGGGGUGAAAGCCCGGGGCUCAACCUCGGAACUGCCUUCAAUACUGGCGAUCUUGAGUAUGAGAGAGGUGUGUGGAACUCCGAGUGUAGAGGUGAAAUUCGUAGAUAUUCGGAUGAACACCAGUGGCGAAGGCGACACACUGGCUCAUUACUGACGCUGAGGCUCGAAAGCGUGGGGAGCAAACAGGAUUAGAUACCCGCGUAGUCCCUGUCUCUUAUAC
Molecule: ribosomal RNA, 301 nt
Filed under: uncultured bacterium
Lineage: Bacteria
Description: partial 16S ribosomal RNA
Rfam family: Bacterial small subunit ribosomal RNA
Source: RNAcentral